ACGGGGGGUGCGAGCGUUGAUCGGAAUCACUGGGCGUAAAGCGCACGUAGGCGGUGUCGUAAGUCGGUUGUGAAAGCCCUCGGCUCAACCGGGGAACGGCAGGGGAUACUGGGAUGCUUGAGUGCCGGAGGGGGUGGCGGAAUUCCAGGUGUAGAAGUGAAAUCCGGAGAUACCUGGGGGAACACCGAUGGCGAAGGCAGCCACCUAGACCGGAACCGACACUGAGGUGCGAAAGCGUGGGGAUCAAACAG
RNAcentral lists this ribosomal RNA (251 nucleotides) under uncultured prokaryote. Its description in RNAcentral is "partial 16S rRNA". It matches the Rfam family "Bacterial small subunit ribosomal RNA", at positions 525 to 775 of the family's 1533-position model. The record is from RNAcentral.